GGGGAAUAUUGGACAAUGGGCGAAAGCCUGAUCCAGCCAUGCCGCGUGAGUGAAGAAGGCCUUCGGGUUGUAAAGCUCUUUCGGACGGAAAGAAAACGGAUGGGUUAAUACCCUGUUCGGAUGACGGUACCGUCAUAAGAAGCACCGGCUAACUACGUGCCAGCAGCCGCGGUAAUACGUAGGGUGCGAGCGUUAAUCGGAAUUACUGGGCGUAAAGCGUGCGCAGGCGGUUGAUUAAGACAGGCGUGAAAUCCCCGGGCUUAACCUGGGAACUGCGCUUGUGACUGGUCGGCUAGAGUACGGCAGAGGGGGGUGGAAUUCCACGUGUAGCAGUGAAAUGCGUAGAUAUAGGAAGGAACACCAGUGGCGAAGGCGACCACCUGGACUGAUACUGACACUGAGGUGCGAAAGCGUGGGGAGCAAACA
RNAcentral lists this ribosomal RNA (426 nucleotides) under uncultured beta proteobacterium. RNAcentral describes it as "bacterial SSU rRNA". It matches the Rfam family "Bacterial small subunit ribosomal RNA", at positions 356 to 774 of the family's 1533-position model. The record is from RNAcentral. Lineage: Bacteria; Pseudomonadati; Pseudomonadota; Betaproteobacteria.